AGGAGGCUGGAUGGCGAACGCGU
This 23-nucleotide non-coding RNA is filed under the name Cricetulus griseus (Chinese hamster). Lineage: Eukaryota; Metazoa; Chordata; Mammalia; Rodentia; Cricetidae. The record is from RNAcentral.